Molecule: transfer RNA, 72 nt
Filed under: Ovis aries (sheep)
Lineage: Eukaryota; Metazoa; Chordata; Mammalia; Artiodactyla; Bovidae
Rfam family: tRNA
About the family: Transfer RNA (tRNA) molecules are approximately 80 nucleotides in length. Their secondary structure includes four short double-helical elements and three loops (D, anti-codon, and T loops).
Source: Rfam by way of RNAcentral
UCCCUGGUGGCUCAGAUGGUAAAGUAUCUGCCUGCAAUGCAGGAGACCCUGGUUUAAUCCCUGGGUUGGGAA